UACAGAGGGUGCGAGCGUUGUUCGGAAUUAUUGGGCGUAAAGCGCGCGCAGGCGGUCCUUUAAGUCUGAUGUGAAAGCCCACGGCUCAACCGUGGAGGGUCAUUGGAAACUGGGGGACUUGAGUGCAGGAGAGAAGAGUGGAAUUCCACGUGUAGCGGUGAAAUGCGUAGAGAUGUGGAGGAACACCGGUGGCGAAGGCGGCAUCCUGGACCGACAUUGACGCUGAGGCGCGAAAGCCAGGGGAGCAAACGGG
Molecule: ribosomal RNA, 253 nt
Filed under: uncultured bacterium
Lineage: Bacteria
Description: partial 16S ribosomal RNA
Rfam family: Bacterial small subunit ribosomal RNA
Source: RNAcentral